AAAAAUUUUAGGUUAAAUUAUACAAUUGGUUUUAUUUCUUUUGUUUUGAGCAAUUUAAUUUUUUUUCUUUUAUGUUCUUUUAACUUUUUUUUCAUUCUUUUCUGCUUCUCCCUCUAUUUUUUCAGGUUGCAAAUGCUUGAGCAGCAGCAACCGUAUUUCUAAUAUUUCUUCUCUUGAAGCUUUUUUUCCAUAUAAUUCUUCAAUUGGAUGCAUGCAUGCAGAUA
RNAcentral lists this long non-coding RNA (224 nucleotides) under Gossypium raimondii (Peruvian cotton). RNAcentral's name for it is "long non-coding RNA (GRAI_LNC009062)". Lineage: Eukaryota; Viridiplantae; Streptophyta; Magnoliopsida; Malvales; Malvaceae. The record is from RNAcentral.